GGUCUUUGGCACCUGGGAAGGUCUGAAUGUGGCCUUUGUGUUUGUUGAACUGCACUGUGCCCAGCCAGGCAGAGCUGAUCACUAAGCUUUUCUAUAGCUUCAUAACUGCAAAUUGCUCAGCCAUUUGUCUUUUAAUCCUCAUAAGCCCUUUGUGCUGGAGGCACUGCCCCAUUAUCAGCGCCCUUCAUUUUCCAGUCCAGAAGGCGGACGAUAUGUGACUUGUUCAAGGACACAGGGUAAAUACUCAGAAACAGAAUUGCUGGAUCAUGCAGUAGGUCUACUUUUGAUUUUUUGAGGAACCUCUGUACUGUUUUCCACAGUGGCUGCACCAAUUUACAUCCCCAGCAAAAGUGCACGAGUGUUCCUUUUUCUCCACAUCCUCACCAACACGUCUUUUUGAUAACGGCCAUCCUAACAGCUAACAAGGUCAACCUUGCAGGGAAAUGAACAAGCAACCCAGGUGAUCUCAGGAGCUGAGGGAAAGUGCUCUUUUCCUGUCUCUGCAAACUCCCCCCACCCUUGCCUACUGAUGUCUAGGGUUCCACUAACAGAAACCAAGAAGUGCCACAAGCUCUACCUGCUUCGUACUCAAUAACAGAACCAUGGCUGUGGACUGAGAUACUGGCUCCAGGAAGCUUCUGCUGAAAGGCUUUUCCUCCACGACAGAGGUAACAGGUUAAUUUACUGUGCCGUAUUAACUAACUGCCACCUACAAGAAAACUGAGCUGUGAGGGAAGGAAACACAAGACAGUUAAUCUUUGAAGCCAUGAGUGUGAGGGUAGGAUGGAAGAUGCUAGACAUAGUUCAUUGCAGGCAGGACAAGCCCUGGGCAGUGUCAUUGUUGGAGGUCCUGGUAAUUGAGGAACAGCACCGAGCACUGUGUCACUUGUGGGGAAUAGAAGACAGAGGAAGGGAGCAUGGAAAAUAAGGGACAUGCUGAAACCAUAUGUUGCCUGCGACGCAGUGUGGCUGCGGCCUGGUCCCAUAUGCUUGGCUGCAGUGCAUUUAUCUCUGAGCGUGUCCGUUCUCCUCAUAAAUGCACCUUUGUUUUCUGCCCAGCACAAAAACAUCACGACCCGUGUCUGAGAAUGUUGGGAAUUUUAUUAAGUCCAUAAAGUUUUAGCUGUGGUCUCGUCCACCAAGGCCAAAAUAAAUAAAUAGAGAGAGUGUAAGGGUAACAAUUUAAAAAAAAAAAAAAUCUGGCUCAAAGAAAGAAAAACUACUGAAGCUCUAAAAUAACUUUGUCACAGUGGCUUUACAGGGAUUUCUUCUUACCAACUGAGAAUUCUGUAAAGUGCAAGCUGGGAAACUGCAGUCAAAAUGCAGCCAACAAAUUCACUUUUCAGAUUUCUCUGAGAAUAUUCUUUUCUG
Molecule: long non-coding RNA, 1371 nt
Filed under: Equus caballus (horse)
Lineage: Eukaryota; Metazoa; Chordata; Mammalia; Perissodactyla; Equidae
Description: lncRNA (ENSECAG00000055795.1)
Source: RNAcentral